UCUGGGUUGCAUGGCUGCAUGCUGUGGAGGUUCUCUUUGGCAUUCGUGUCGGGUGGGCUUUCAUGGUGUCGUGGUCGUGUGACCUUUCUGCCGUAUCUGUUUUACAGAUGUCAGNCGGNGCAAUUGGCAUGUCUAGGAUGUCGUUAAUUCGGUGUCCUGGGNAGACGGCAUNUUUACUUUGAACAAAUUUGAGUGCUCAAAGCAGGCCGUAGUGCCUGAAAAUUCUUGCAUGGAAUAAUGAAAUAGGACNUCGGUUCUAUUNAGUUGGUUUUCGGACUCGNANUAAU
Molecule: ribosomal RNA, 287 nt
Filed under: Copiatestes filiferus
Lineage: Eukaryota; Metazoa; Platyhelminthes; Trematoda; Azygiida; Syncoeliidae
Description: partial small subunit ribosomal RNA
Rfam family: Eukaryotic small subunit ribosomal RNA (bases 158-287)
Source: RNAcentral